GAUGAACGCUGACAGAAUGCUUAACACAUGCAAGUCGAUGGGGAAGUGGUGCUUGCACCCUGGCAACCCUGGCGGACGGGUGAGUAACGCGUAAGGGACUUACCUGCAGGACUGGGAUAACAGGGGGAAACUCCUGACAAGACCGGAUAAUGUCAUGGAGCUGCAUGGCUUUAUGAUGAAAGGAGACGCCUGCGGAGAGCCUUGCGUCCUAUUAGCUAGUUGGUGAGGUAAUGGCUCACCAAGGCGAAGAUAGGUAGCCGGCCUGAGAGGGUGGACGGCCACAAGGGGACUGAGAUACGGCCCUUACUCCUACGGGAGGCAGCAGUGGGGAAUAUUGGACAAUGGGGGCAACACUGAUCCAGCAAUUCUGUGUGCACGAAGAAGGUUUUCGGAUUGUAAAGUGCUUUCAGCAGGGAAGAAGUAAGUGACGGUACCUGCAGAAGAAGCGACGGCUAAAUACGUG
RNAcentral lists this ribosomal RNA (463 nucleotides) under uncultured bacterium. RNAcentral describes it as "partial 16S ribosomal RNA". It matches the Rfam family "Bacterial small subunit ribosomal RNA", at positions 28 to 507 of the family's 1533-position model. The record is from RNAcentral.